GAUGAAGAACGUAGCGAAAUGCGAUACGUAAUGUGAAUUGCAGAAUUCAGUGAAUCAUCGAAUCUUUGAACGCAUAUUGCGCUCUCUGGUAUUCCGGAGAGCAUGCUUGUUUGAGUAUCAGUAAACACCUCAACUUCCAUAUCUUUUUUGAAAUGGGAGUUGGACUUGAGUGAUCCCAACGCUUUUCCUCACCGAAAAGUGGCGGGUUACUUGAAAUGCAGGUGCAGCUGGACUUUUCUCUGAGCUAUAAGCAUAUCUAUUUAGUCUGCCUAAAAAACAGAUUAUUACCUUUGCUGCAGCUAACAUAAAGGAGAUUAGUUCUUGUGCUGACUGAUGCAGGAUUCACAAAGACGGCUUCGGCCGACUUUGUAAACUCGAUCUCAAAUCAAGUAAGACUACCCGCUGAACUUAGGCAUAUCAAUAAGCGGAGGA
RNAcentral lists this unclassified non-coding RNA (432 nucleotides) under soil metagenome. RNAcentral's name for it is "partial contains 5.8S ribosomal RNA, internal transcribed spacer 2, and large subunit ribosomal RNA". The stretch from base 1 to 120 matches the Rfam family "5.8S ribosomal RNA", at positions 35 to 154 of the family's 154-position model. The record is from RNAcentral.